GACGAACGCUGGCGGCGUGCUUAACACAUGCAAGUCGAGCGGUAAGGCUCCUUCGGGAGUACACGAGCGGCGAACGGGUGAGUAACACGUGAGCAAUCUGCCCUUCACACGGGGAUAACCCUCGGAAACGAGAGCUAAUACCCGAUACGACCACUUCAGGCAUCUGAUGGUGGUGGAAAGUUCCGGCGGUGAAGGAUGAGCUCGCGGCCUAUCAGCUUGUUGGUGGGGUAACGGCCCACCCAGGCAACGACGGGUAGCCGGCCUGAGAGGGUGACCGGCCACACUGGGACUGAGACACGGCCCAGACUCCUACGGGAGGCAGCAGUGGGGAAUAUUGGACAAUGGGCGAAAGCCUGAUCCAGCAACGCCGCGUGAGGGAUGACGGCCUGCGGGUUGUAAACCUCUUUCAGCAGGGACGAAGCGCAAGUGACGGUACCUACAGAAGAAGCACCGGCCAACUACGUGCCAGCAGCCGCCGCAG
Molecule: ribosomal RNA, 481 nt
Filed under: uncultured bacterium
Lineage: Bacteria
Description: partial 16S ribosomal RNA
Rfam family: Bacterial small subunit ribosomal RNA
Source: RNAcentral